RNAcentral lists this ribosomal RNA (245 nucleotides) under uncultured bacterium. RNAcentral's name for it is "partial 16S ribosomal RNA". It matches the Rfam family "Bacterial small subunit ribosomal RNA", at positions 524 to 768 of the family's 1533-position model. The record is from RNAcentral.
UACGUAGGUGGCGAGCGUUGUCCGGAAUUACUGGGUGUAAAGGGCGUGUAGACGGGUGUGCAAGUCAGAUGUGAAACUCCAUGGCUUAACUGUGGAACUGCAUCUGAAACUGCGUAUCUUGAGUGCUGGAGAGGAAAGCGGAAUUCCUAGUGUAGCGGUGAAAUGCGUAGAUAUUAGGAGGAACACCAGUGGCGAAGGCGGCUUUCUGGACAGUAACUGACGUUGAGGCGCGAAAGCGUGGGGAG